AGUUGUAAUUUGGAGAGGGCAACUUUGGGGCCGUUCCUUGUCUAUGUUCCUUGGAACAGGACGUCAUAGAGGGUGAGAAUCCCGUGUGGCGAGGAGUGCGGUUCUUUGUAAAGUGCCUUCGAAGAGUCGAGUUGUUUGGGAAUGCAGCUCUAAGUGGGUGGUAAAUUCCAUCUAAAGCUAAAUAUUGGCGAGAGACCGAUAGCGAACAAGUACAGUGAUGGAAAGAUGAAAAGAACUUUGAAAAGAGAGUGAAAAAGUACGUGAAAUUGUUGAAAGGGAAGGGCAUUUGAUCAGACAUGGUGUUUUGUGCCCUCUGCUCCUUGUGGGUAGGGGAAUCUCGCAUUUCACUGGGCCAGCAUCAGUUUUGGUGGCAGGAUAAAUCCAUAGGAAUGUAGCUUGCCUCGGUAAGUAUUAUAGCCUGUGGGAAUACUGCCAGCUGGGACUGAGGACUGCGACGU
RNAcentral lists this ribosomal RNA (458 nucleotides) under Saccharomyces cerevisiae (brewer's yeast). Its description in RNAcentral is "LSU rRNA". It matches the Rfam family "Eukaryotic large subunit ribosomal RNA", at positions 141 to 602 of the family's 3401-position model. Lineage: Eukaryota; Fungi; Ascomycota; Saccharomycetes; Saccharomycetales; Saccharomycetaceae. The record is from RNAcentral.